CAGUCGCCGCGGUAACACGUAGGUGGCAAGCGUUGUCCGGAAUUAUUGGGCGUAAAGCGCGCGCAGGCGGAUAGGUCAGUCUGUCUUAAAAGUUCGGGGCUUAACCCCGUGAUGGGAUGGAAACUGCCAAUCUAGAGUAUCGGAGAGGAAAGUGGAAUUCCUAGUGUAGCGGUGAAAUGCGUAGAUAUUAGGAAGAACACCAGUGGCGAAGGCGACUUUCUGGACGAAAACUGACGCUGAGGCGCGAAAGCCAGGGGAGCGAACGGGAUUAGAUACCCCAGUAGUCCCUGUCUCUUAUACA
Molecule: ribosomal RNA, 301 nt
Filed under: uncultured bacterium
Lineage: Bacteria
Description: partial 16S ribosomal RNA
Rfam family: Bacterial small subunit ribosomal RNA
Source: RNAcentral